GGCGAGCGGGUGAGUAACACGUGGGUAAUCUGCCCUGCACUCUGGGAUAAGCCUGGGAAACUGGGUCUAAUACUGGAUAUGACCUUUCUCCUUAUGGGGUUUGGUGGAAAGUUUUUCGGUGUAGGAUGAGCCCGCGGCCUAUCAGCUUGUUGGUGGGGUGAUGGCCUACCAAGGCGACGACGGGUAGCCGGCCUGAGAGGGUGAUCGGCCACAUUGGGACUGAGAUACGGCCCAG
This 235-nucleotide ribosomal RNA is filed under the name uncultured Actinomycetales bacterium. RNAcentral's name for it is "partial 16S ribosomal RNA". It matches the Rfam family "Bacterial small subunit ribosomal RNA", at positions 97 to 334 of the family's 1533-position model. The record is from RNAcentral. Lineage: Bacteria; Bacillati; Actinomycetota; Actinomycetes; Actinomycetales.